CAGCAAAGUUUAUCUCUGCACAGAUCAAGGCAGAAUGUUGGAAAUUCUGAAUGUCCCACAGAGAGAAAGGGAGAGCCUCCUACUGGGGAUCGAGCCUGUAACCUGGGCAUCUGCCCUGACUGGGAAUCGAACUGUGACCUCUUGGUUCCUGGGUCAAUGCUCAACCGCUGAGCCACACAAGCUGGUAAUGCCACGAAAACAUUGUUUUUUCCAGUCAUUGAAGGAGCUCCAUCUGUAGCUACAGAAGUUAAUUUUGAGAGAGGUAGACUGUAUUUUUGCAGAAGUUUAAAAACACAAUUAAAUAUAUUUUGUCCUGUACUAGUGUUAUGCAUCAGUACUAGUUCCAAUAAUUCCUCAAACAUGUUGAAAUCCGUGUUGCAAGCACGAAGAAACACAGCUAUCUGAGCUACGCCUCCAAUGUCCAUACUCUCGUCACAGGCAAUGGAAAAAGCUUAGAAACCAGAUGAUUUUGCUUUGAUCUGAAUACUUAUAUUGUCGGCCAAAUCAGUAACGCUUUCCUCAACUGUA
Molecule: long non-coding RNA, 528 nt
Organism: Eptesicus fuscus (big brown bat)
Lineage: Eukaryota; Metazoa; Chordata; Mammalia; Chiroptera; Vespertilionidae
Exons: 3
Source: RefSeq, a predicted model, not a curated record